CCUGGCUCAGGAUGAACGCUGGCGGCGUGCCUAAUACAUGCAAGUCGAGCGAAUGGAUUAAGAGCUUGCUCUUAUGAAGUUAGCGGCGGACGGGUGAGUAACACGUGGGUAACCUGCCCAUAAGACUGGGAUAACUCCGGGAAACCGGGGCUAAUACCGGAUAACAUUUUGAACCGCAUGGUUCGAAAUUGAAAGGCGGCUUCGGCUGUCACUUAUGGAUGGACCCGCGUCGCAUUAGCUAGUUGGUGAGGUAACGGCUCACCAAGGCAACGAUGCGUAGCCGACCUGAGAGGGUGAUCGGCCACACUGGGACUGAGACACGGCCCAGACUCCUACGGGAGGCAGCAGUAGGGAAUCUUCCGCAAUGGACGAAAGUCUGACGGAGCAACGCCGCGUGAGUGAUGAAGGCUUUCGGGUCGUAAAACUCUGUUGUUAGGGAAGAACAAGUCACUAGUUGAAUAAGCUGGCACCUUGACGGUACCUAACC
RNAcentral lists this ribosomal RNA (487 nucleotides) under Bacillus cereus. Its description in RNAcentral is "bacterial SSU rRNA". It matches the Rfam family "Bacterial small subunit ribosomal RNA", at positions 18 to 484 of the family's 1533-position model. The record is from RNAcentral. Lineage: Bacteria; Bacillati; Bacillota; Bacilli; Caryophanales; Bacillaceae.